This 708-nucleotide ribosomal RNA is filed under the name uncultured Eubacteriaceae bacterium. RNAcentral describes it as "bacterial SSU rRNA". It matches the Rfam family "Bacterial small subunit ribosomal RNA", at positions 103 to 827 of the family's 1533-position model. The record is from RNAcentral. Lineage: Bacteria; Bacillati; Bacillota; Clostridia; Eubacteriales; Eubacteriaceae.
CGGGUGAGUAACGCGUGGGAAACCUGCCUUGUAGAGGGGGAUAGCCUCGGGAAACCGGGAUUAAUACCCCAUAAAGCUCCAGCAUCGCAUGAUGCAAGAGUCAAAACUCCGGUGCUACAAGAUGGUCCCGCGUCCCAUUAGCUAGUUGGUGAGAUAACAGCUCACCAAGGCGACAAUGGGUAGCCGACCUGAGAGGGUGAUCGGCCACACUGGGACUGAGACACGGCCCAGACUCCUACGGGAGGCAGCAGUGGGGAAUAUUGCGCAAUGGGGGAAACCCUGACGCAGCAACGCCGCGUGAGUGAAGAAGGUUUUCGGAUCGUAAAACUCUGUCUUAAGGGAUGAAUAAAUGACAGUACCUUAAGAGGAAGCCCCGGCUAACUACGUGCCAGCAGCCGCGGUAAUACGUAGGGGGCAAGCGUUGUCCGGAAUUACUGGGCGUAAAGGGCGUGUAGGCGGCACUUUAAGUCAGAUGUGAAAGUCCACGGCUCAACCGUGGAAUUGCAUUUGAAACUGGAGAGCUUGAGUGCAGGAGAGGAGAGCGGAAUUCCUAGUGUAGCGGUGAAAUGCGUAGAUAUUAGGAAGAACACCAGUGGCGAAGGCGGCUCUCUGGACUGUAACUGACGCUGAGGCGCGAAAGCGUGGGUAGCGAACAGGAUUAGAUACCCUGGUAGUCCACGCCGUAAACGAUGAGUGCUAGGUGUUGGG